UGACGAGUUUGAUCCUGGCUCAGAUUGAACGCUGGCGGAAUGCUUUACACAUGCAAGUCGAACGGUAGAGGGGGCAACCCCUUGAGAGUGGCGAACGGGUGAGUAAUAUAUCGGAACGUGCCCAGUCGUGGGGGAUAACGUAGUGAAAAUUACGCUAAUACCGCAUACGAUCUAUGGAUGAAAGCGGGGGACCGUAAGGCCUCGCGCGAUUGGAGCGGCCGAUGUCAGAUUAGGUAGUUGGUGAGGUAAAGGCUCACCAAGCCAACGAUCUGUAGCUGGUCUGAGAGGACGACCAGCCACACUGGAACUGAGACACGGUCCAGACUCCGUACGGGA
RNAcentral lists this ribosomal RNA (336 nucleotides) under uncultured Comamonadaceae bacterium. RNAcentral describes it as "bacterial SSU rRNA". It matches the Rfam family "Bacterial small subunit ribosomal RNA", at positions 1 to 346 of the family's 1533-position model. Lineage: Bacteria; Pseudomonadati; Pseudomonadota; Betaproteobacteria; Burkholderiales; Comamonadaceae. The record is from RNAcentral.